Molecule: non-coding RNA, 29 nt
Filed under: Rattus norvegicus (Norway rat)
Lineage: Eukaryota; Metazoa; Chordata; Mammalia; Rodentia; Muridae
Source: RNAcentral
UUCUUAAAUGAGUACUUCCACUCUGCUGC